Alnus glutinosa is the source of this 949-nucleotide long non-coding RNA. RefSeq lists it as uncharacterized. The transcript is spliced from 5 exons. Lineage: Eukaryota; Viridiplantae; Streptophyta; Magnoliopsida; Fagales; Betulaceae. The record is from RefSeq and is a predicted model, not a curated record.
UUUCCCCCUCACCCGCACGACUUUUCUUCUUUUUCUCUUUUUCUUCUUUUCUCCUCCCCGUCGCACACCCCCUUCUCUUCUCCUCUUUCCUUCUUCCUCUCUUCCGCUCAGCUCCAAGCAGCAGCACACCGGACUCCUUUUCUCCCUUUUUCCUUUCUUUCCUCUCUUUUCCCUCCACGCGCAGGCCCCCCCCCCCCCCCUCUCUCAGUUUCUCCCCUCGCCUGAACCCCUUUCUUUCCCUCUUCUCUUCUUCUUCCGCCACAGCAGCACCGAUGCCCUCCUCUCUUCCCUUCCCUCUUCUUCCCUUCAGUUUCCACCUGCUGGCCGAGUAAGAGCUGCUGCCGAGAGUGGGAUUUCUGCAUAAAAUUGGUGUUGGCCGUAGAUGCUAAUAAAUUAAGGCACAGAAGGUGGAGACUUCAAUUGUUCCCCAACGGUGAGUUCAAGGUAACUAGAACGUGGGGGAUAUUCGAGUCAUGAGUCCAAUGCAGCUAGAUAAGCUGUCAUGACACGUCUGAUGAGAAAUUCUGCUUGCCAUUGAGUCGUUGACGAAAAUUAGAUCAUGAAGUUUAGAGUAGAAGAACCAGGAGUUAAAGCACUCAUUUGCCAAGAUAAAUGGGUUUUUUGGUAAAGAACUUUCAGAAUGGCAAAUUUAGUUGAUGCAUGCUAAAAGCCCUGUUACAAUUUGUGGCGAUAUUCAUGGGCAGUUCCAUGAUCUUGCAGAGCUUUUUCGCAUUGGAGGGAAAUGUAUUUGUCUGACUGGGGAUUUCAACUUUGUACUCAUAUUAUGUUUGCAAAAGGAAUGGUGAUCAAUUACUGCUUGAGAUUUAUGAAUUGACUGGUUUUUCCAAUUUGAGAAUUGAAAUUCUCCAACUGCAGUUGUUGUGUUUAUGAUGAUGUGUUAAGAUUAAUUAUUUUUGUAAGUGUGAAAGAGGCUUCUAGACUUAGUUGA